UGGGGAAUUUUACGCAAUGGGGGAAACCCUGACGUAGCGACACCGCGUGAACGAAGAAGCCUCUUGGGGUGUAAAGUUCUGUCGGCUGGAACGAAAAAAAUGACGGUACCAGCAAAGGAAGCAUCGGCUAACUACGUGCCAGCAGCCGCGGUAAGACGUAGGAUGCAAGCGUUGUCCGGAUUUAUUGGGCGUAAAGAGUUCGUAGGCGGUUUGUUAAGUCUGAUGUUAAAGACUGAGGCUCAACCUUGGGAGUGCAUUGGAUACUGGCAGACUGGAGUAUGGUAGAGGCGAGUGGAAUUCCCAGUGUAGCGGUGAAAUGCGUAGAUAUUGGGAAGAACACCGGUGGCGUAAGCGACUCGCUGGGCCAUAACUGACGCUGAGGAACGAAAGCCAGGGGAGCAAAUGGGAUUAGAUACCCCCGUAGUCC
This 427-nucleotide ribosomal RNA is filed under the name uncultured bacterium. RNAcentral's name for it is "bacterial SSU rRNA". It matches the Rfam family "Bacterial small subunit ribosomal RNA", at positions 355 to 796 of the family's 1533-position model. The record is from RNAcentral.